This 249-nucleotide ribosomal RNA is filed under the name Triticum aestivum (bread wheat). RNAcentral's name for it is "partial small subunit ribosomal RNA". The record is from RNAcentral. Lineage: Eukaryota; Viridiplantae; Streptophyta; Magnoliopsida; Poales; Poaceae.
AUGGCGUGCGUCUUGACGAGCCACACACGCAGCAGCAUGACCCCCCUUACAUCAGCGGUGUUAUUGCAAAAAGCAGCAGCAACAAUAGACACGCUCGUCACAGUAGCAGAGACAAACACUGGUGGUGCUGCAAAGCAUCAUCGGCGGCAGCGACCAACAACUUGCAGUCGUAGAGCGAGUGUUGCAUUGGAGCGCCAGAAUCUGCCGAGGAGAGCUGCAUCGCAGCGCAGGCAGCUUGCAGCCAUCUAG